RNAcentral lists this ribosomal RNA (253 nucleotides) under uncultured bacterium. Its description in RNAcentral is "partial 16S ribosomal RNA". It matches the Rfam family "Bacterial small subunit ribosomal RNA", at positions 524 to 776 of the family's 1533-position model. The record is from RNAcentral.
CACGGGGGGAGCAAGCGUUGUUCGGAAUCACUGGGCGUAAAGGGCGUGUAGGCGGUCAAGUAAGUGGAAUGUGAAAUGCCCCGGCUCACCCGGGGACCGGCAUCCCAAACUGCUUGGCUUGAGUAUGGGAGAGGAUGAGGGAAUUCCUGGUGUAGCGGUGAAAUGCGUAGAUAUCAGGAGGAACACCGGUGGCGAAGGCGCUCAUCUGGCCCAAUACUGACGCUGAGGCGCGAAAGCUAGGGGAGCAAACGGG